This 372-nucleotide ribosomal RNA is filed under the name uncultured organism. RNAcentral's name for it is "partial 16S ribosomal RNA". It matches the Rfam family "Bacterial small subunit ribosomal RNA", at positions 527 to 896 of the family's 1533-position model. The record is from RNAcentral.
GUAGGUGGCAAGCGUUGUCCGGAAUUAUUGGGCGUAAAGCGCGCGCAGGCGGGUCCUCUAAGUCUGAUGUGAAAGCCCACGGCUCAACCGUGGAGGGUCAUUGGAAACUGGGGGACUUGAGUACAGAAGAGGAAAGCGGAAUUCCAAGUGUAGCGGUGAAAUGCGUAGAGAUUUGGAGGAACACCAGUGGCGAAGGCGGCUUUCUGGUCUGUAACUGACGCUGAGGCGCGAAAGCGUGGGGGGCGAACAGGAUAGAUACCCUGGUAGUCCACGCCGUAAACGAUGAGUGCUAAGUGUUAGGGGGUUUCCGCCCCUUAGUGCUGCAGCUAACGCAUUAAGCACUCCGCCUGGGGAGUACGGCCGCAAAGGCUG